AUUGAACGCUGGCGGCAUGCCUUACACAUGCAAGUCGAACGGCAGCACGGGUGCUUGCACCUGGUGGCGAGUGGCGAACGGGUGAGUAAUACAUCGGAACAGGUCCUGUAGUGGGGGAUAGCCCGGCGAAAGCCGGAUUAAUACCGCAUACGAUCUACUGAUGAAAGCGGGGGACCUUCGGGCCUCGCGCUAUAGGGUUGGCCGAUGGCUGAUUAGCUAGUUGGUGGGGUAAAGGCCUACCAAGGCGACGAUCAGUAGCUGGUCUGAGAGGAAGACCCGCCACACUGGGACUGAGACACGGCCCAGACUCCUACGGGAGGCAGCAGUGGGGAAUUUUGGACAAUGGGCGAAAGCCUGAUACAGCAAUGCCGCGUGUGUGAAGAAGGCCUUCGGGUUGUAAAGCACUUUUGUCCGGAAAGAAAUACUUGGCUCUAAUACAGUAGGGGGAUGACGGUACCGGAAGAAUAAGCACCGGCUAACUACGUG
Molecule: ribosomal RNA, 486 nt
Filed under: uncultured bacterium
Lineage: Bacteria
Description: partial 16S ribosomal RNA
Rfam family: Bacterial small subunit ribosomal RNA
Source: RNAcentral